AUGAUAGCUUGCUAUCAGGCGUCGAGCGGCGGACGGGUGAGUAAUACUUAGGAAUCUACCUAGUAGUGGGGGAUAGCUCGGGGAAACUCGAAUUAAUACCGCAUACGACCUACGGGAGAAAGGGGGCAACUUGUUGCUCUCGCUAUUAGAUGAGCCUAAGUCGGAUUAGCUAGAUGGUGGGGUAAAGGCCUACCAUGGCGACGAUCUGUAGCUGGUCUGAGAGGAUGAUCAGCCACACCGGGACUGAGACACGGCCCGGACUCCUACGGGAGGCAGCAGUGGGGAAUAUUGGACAAUGGGGGCAACCCUGAUCCAGCCAUGCCGCGUGUGUGAAGAAGGCCUUUUGGUUGUAAAGCACUUUAAGCAGUGAAGAAGACUCCAUGGUUAAUACCCAUGGACGAUGACAUUAGCUGCAGAAUAAGCACCGGCUAACUCUGUGCCAGCAGCCGCGGUAAUACAGAGGGUGCAAGCGUUAAUCGGAAUUACUGGGCGUAAAGCGAGCGUAGGUGGCUUGAUAAGUCAGAUGUGAAAUCCCCGGGCUUAACCUGGGAACUGCAUCUGAUACUGUUAGGCUAGAAUAGGUGAGAGGAAGGUAGAAUUCCAGGUGUAGCGGUGAAAUGCGUAGAGAUCUGGAGGAAUACCGAUGGCGAAGGCAGCCUUCUGGCAUCAUAUUGACACUGAGGUUCGAAAGCGUGGGUAGCAAACAGGAUUAGAUACCCUGGUAGUCCACGCCGUAAACGAUGUCUACUAGUCGUUGGGUCCCUUGAGGACUUAGUGACGCAGCUAACGCAAUAAGUAGACCGCCUGGGGAGUACGGCCGCAAGGUUAAAACUCAAAUGAAUUGACGGGGGCCCGCACAAGCGGUGGAGCAUGUGGUUUAAUUCGAUGCAACGCGAAGAACCUUACCUGGUCUUGACAUAUCUAGAAUCCUGCAGAGAUGCGGGAGUGCCUUCGGGAAUUAGAAUACAGGUGCUGCAUGGCUGUCGUCAGCUCGUGUCGUGAGAUGUUGGGUUAAGUCCCGCAACGAGCGCAACCCUUGUCCUUAGUUACCAGCGGGUUAAGCCGGGAACUCUAAGGAUACUGCCAGUGACAAACUGGAAGAAGGCGGGGACGACGUCAAGUCAUCAUGGCCCUUACGACCAGGGCUACCCACGUGCUACAAUGGUAGGUACAGAAGGCAGCUACCCAGCGAUGUGAUGCC
RNAcentral lists this ribosomal RNA (1201 nucleotides) under Psychrobacter maritimus. RNAcentral describes it as "bacterial SSU rRNA". It matches the Rfam family "Bacterial small subunit ribosomal RNA", at positions 72 to 1269 of the family's 1533-position model. Lineage: Bacteria; Pseudomonadati; Pseudomonadota; Gammaproteobacteria; Moraxellales; Moraxellaceae. The record is from RNAcentral.